GUAGGGAGCAAGCGUUGUUCGGAAUUAUUGGGCGUAAAGAGCGCGUAGGCGGCCAGGUAAGUCUGGUGUGAAAUCCCACAGCUCAACUGUGGAACUGCAUUGGAAACUGCUUGGCUAGAGUGCGGGAGAGGAGAGUGGAAUUCCCAGUGUAGAGGUGAAAUUCGUAGAUAUUGGGAGGAACACCAGUGGCGAAGGCGGCUCUCUGGACCGCAACUGACGCUGAGGCGCGAAAGCUAGGGGAGCGAACGGGAUUAGAUACCCCGGUAGUCCUAGCCGUAAACGAUGGGCACUAGGUGUAGGAGGUAUCGACCCCUUCUGUGCCGUAGCUAACGCAUUAAGUGCCCCGCCUGGGGAGUACGGUCGCAAAGACUA
This 372-nucleotide ribosomal RNA is filed under the name uncultured organism. RNAcentral's name for it is "partial 16S ribosomal RNA". It matches the Rfam family "Bacterial small subunit ribosomal RNA", at positions 527 to 896 of the family's 1533-position model. The record is from RNAcentral.